CCUACGGGAGGCAGCAGUGGGGAAUAUUGGACAAUGGGCGAAAGCCUGAUCCAGCAAUGCCGCGUGAGUGAUGAAGGCCUUAGGGUUGUAAAGCUCUUUUACCAGGGAUGAUAAUGACAGUACCUGGAGAAUAAGCUCCGGCUAACUCCGUGCCAGCAGCCGCGGUAAUACGGAGGGAGCUAGCGUUGUUCGGAAUUACUGGGCGUAAAGCGUACGUAGGCGGUUAUUCAAGUCAGAGGUGAAAGCCUGGAGCUCAACUCCAGAACUGCCUUUGAAACUAGAUAGCUAGAAUCUUGGAGAGGUGAGUGGAAUUCCGAGUGUAGAGGUGAAAUUCGUAGAUAUUCGGAAGAACACCAGUGGCGAAGGCGACUCACUGGACAAGUAUUGACGCUGAGGUACGAAAGCGUGGGGAGCAAACAGGAUUAGAUACCCUGGUAGUCCACGCCGUAAACGAUGAUAACUAGCUGUUCGGGCUCUACGAGCUUGAGUGGCGCAGCUAACGCAUUAAGUUAUCCGCCUGGGGAUACGGUCGCAAGAUUAAAACUCAAAAGAUAAGUGACGNGAGAGAGCGACGACGACGACGACGGAGGAGGAGG
This 596-nucleotide ribosomal RNA is filed under the name uncultured bacterium. RNAcentral describes it as "bacterial SSU rRNA". It matches the Rfam family "Bacterial small subunit ribosomal RNA", at positions 338 to 956 of the family's 1533-position model. The record is from RNAcentral.